This 726-nucleotide unclassified non-coding RNA is filed under the name Hevea brasiliensis (rubber tree). The record is from RNAcentral. Lineage: Eukaryota; Viridiplantae; Streptophyta; Magnoliopsida; Malpighiales; Euphorbiaceae.
CAUAUUUUGAGGAUACAAAGCUUACAAAAACUUUCACUUUCCUUGGUGAAGGAACAACAGAAAUUACUGCUACACUGAUUAAGUGGAAACAGGGCAUGGAAAUGCCGAAUGGAGUGAAUGAGAAGAAAGGGAACAAAAGACCUUUUAUUGAUGAAGGCUUCUUCGGUUGGUUUAGUAGUCCUGUGCGGAAAGAGACGGUGGAAAAUUAUCAGGAUGAGAUUGCAGAUGUUAUCAAAGAAGAUUUAUGGCCCAAUCCACUCUCUUAUUUCAACACUGAUCCUGAUGAUGAGGAGUUUGAAGGGGAUGAAGCUGAUGAAGGGGUUAAGGAUGGUGAUGACUCUGAAGAGGAUGACGAUGAGCAAGAAGACGACGAAGAUGAUGAUGCUGGUAUCUGACUGGUACCAUGUUCAGUAGGUGGUUUUCUGACGAUUUUUCUUAUCCAGUCAAGGCCAUUCGUUCUGUUCUACUGUGGUUUCCUCCCUGAUAUGCAGUUUUCUAGAUAAUUAUGGUAUGAUGUCCUUUUUAUAUCUUACAUCUCUUUCAAUCCUUGAUCAAAGAAAAAGUAGAAUCGUACCUUAUGGUGUAAAGUUGUUGGGAUAAGCCUCUUAUAUGCAUUCAAUUUACUAACAAACAAAUGACCUAUGCUGUUAUCAGUUUAAGCUUAUCAGGUUCUUUAGCUGUGGACUUGUUCAAAAAGUACUUUGUGUGUUGGAAUCCAUUUUUUUU